UACGUAGGGGGCGAGCGUUGUCCGGAUUUAUUGGGCGUAAAGAGCUCGUAGGCGGCUGUUCGAGUCGGGUGUGAAACCCCAGGGCUUAACUCUGGGCCUGCAUUCGAUACUGGGCGGCUUGAGUCUGGUAGGGGGAUCUGGAAUUCCUGGUGUAGCGGUGGAAUGCGCAGAUAUCAGGAGGAACACCGGUGGCGAAGGCGGGAUCCUGGGCCAGUACUGACGCUGAGGAGCGAAAGCGUGGGGAGCAAACAGGAUUAGAUACCCUGGUAGUCCACGCUGUAAACGAUGGGUGCUAGGUGUGGGGGGUUAUCGACUCCCUCCGUGCCGCAGCUAACGCAUUAAGCACCCCGCCUGGGGAGUACGGCCGCAAGGCUAAA
RNAcentral lists this ribosomal RNA (377 nucleotides) under uncultured bacterium. Its description in RNAcentral is "bacterial SSU rRNA". It matches the Rfam family "Bacterial small subunit ribosomal RNA", at positions 524 to 898 of the family's 1533-position model. The record is from RNAcentral.